This is a long non-coding RNA of Solea senegalensis (Senegalese sole), 212 nucleotides long. RefSeq lists it as uncharacterized. NCBI's taxonomy places the organism in Eukaryota, Metazoa, Chordata, Actinopteri, Pleuronectiformes, Soleidae. The record is from RefSeq and is a predicted model, not a curated record. The transcript has 3 exons.
AUCAUAGUUGGUGAAGACCUCAAUGCUGUGGUAGUGCCUGUGAAUGAGAUCAGCGUGACACACAAGGGACACUGGACCACAACCGCUGAGAUAAGAAGCCAGGAUGCUCCGACUGCAGUCAUGGCUCUGACUGUAACAACUGGCUGACCGAUCUUACCUGUGGCACUGGUGCCAUACCCAGCUCUCUCUGGUGGCACGGGGUCGGAAGUCGG